RNAcentral lists this ribosomal RNA (313 nucleotides) under Stephanopyxis turris. RNAcentral's name for it is "partial Bacterial large subunit ribosomal RNA". It matches the Rfam family "Bacterial large subunit ribosomal RNA", at positions 2614 to 2925 of the family's 2925-position model. The record is from RNAcentral. Lineage: Eukaryota; Bacillariophyta; Melosirophyceae; Stephanopyxales; Stephanopyxidaceae.
GAACGUCGUGAGACAGUUCGGUCCAUAUCCGGUGUAGGCGUUAGAAUAUUGAGAGGAGCCUUCUUUAGUACGAGAGGACCAAGAAGGACACACCGCUGGUGUACCAGUUAUCGUGCCAACGGUAAACGCUGGGUAGCUAUGUGUGGAGUGGAUAACCGCUGAAAGCAUCUAAGCGGGAAGCCGGCCUCAAGAUUAGGUAUCCCGGGCCGCAAGGCCCCUGAAGGCCCCUCGUAGACUACGAGGAGAUAGGCAGGGUGUGGAAGCGUAGAGAUACGUGAAGCUGACCUGUACUAAUCGGCCGUGAGGCUUGACC